UCAAAGGAACCGAUAAAA
Molecule: unclassified non-coding RNA, 18 nt
Filed under: Chlamydomonas reinhardtii
Lineage: Eukaryota; Viridiplantae; Chlorophyta; Chlorophyceae; Chlamydomonadales; Chlamydomonadaceae
Description: small RNA Cre_2430
Source: RNAcentral